This 1341-nucleotide ribosomal RNA is filed under the name metagenome. RNAcentral's name for it is "bacterial LSU rRNA". It matches the Rfam family "Bacterial large subunit ribosomal RNA", at positions 1595 to 2925 of the family's 2925-position model. The record is from RNAcentral.
UGAUACCACGCUUCCAGGAAAAGCCACUAAGCUUCAGCCAAGUCAGAACCGUACCGCAAACCGACACAGGUGGGUAGGAUGAGAAUUCUAAGGCGCUUGAGAGAACUCAGGAGAAGGAACUCGGCAAAUUGAUACCGUAACUUCGGGAGAAGGUAUGCCCUUUGAUGUGAAAGACUAGCUCUGUAAGCAUCGGAGGGUCGCAGAGAAUCGGUGGCUGCGACUGUUUAUUAAAAACACAGCACUCUGCUAACACGAAAGUGGACGUAUAGGGUGUGACGCCUGCCCGGUGCUGGAAGGUUAAUUGAAGAUGUGAGAGCAUUGGAUCGAAGCCCCAGUAAACGGCGGCCGUAACAAUAACGGUCCUAAGGUAGCGAAAUUCCUUGUCGGGUAAGUUCCGACCCGCACGAAUGGCGUAACGAUGGCCACACUGUCUCCUCCUGAGACUCAGCGAAGUUGAAAUGGUUGUGAAGAUGCAAUCUCCCCGCUGCUAGACGGAAAGACCCCGUGAACCUUUACUGUAGCUUUGCAUUGGACUUUGAAGUCACUUGUGUAGGAUAGGUGGGAGGCUUAGAAGCAGAGACGCUAGUUUCUGUGGAGCCGUCCUUGAAAUACCACCCUGGUGACUUUGAGGUUCUAACCCAGACCCGUAAUCCGGGUCGGGGACCGUGCAUGGUAGGCAGUUUGACUGGGGCGGUCUCCUCCCAAAGAGUAACGGAGGAGUUCGAAGGUUACCUAGGUCCGGUCGGAAAUCGGGCUGAUAGUGCAAUGGCAAAAGGUAGCUUAACUGCGAGACCGACAAGUCGAGCAGGUGCGAAAGCAGGACAUAGUGAUCCGGUGGUUCUGAAUGGAAGGGCCAUCGCUCAACGGAUAAAAGGUACUCCGGGGAUAACAGGCUGAUUCCGCCCAAGAGUUCAUAUCGACGGCGGAGUUUGGCACCUCGAUGUCGGCUCAUCACAUCCUGGGGCUGUAGUCGGUCCCAAGGGUAUGGCUGUUCGCCAUUUAAAGUGGUACGUGAGCUGGGUUUAAAACGUCGUGAGACAGUUUGGUCCCUAUCUGCAGUGGGCGUUGGAAGUUUGACGGGGGCUGCUCCUAGUACGAGAGGACCGGAGUGGACGAACCUCUGGUGUACCGAUUGUCACGCCAGUGGCAUAGCCGGGUAGCUAAGUUCGGAAGAGAUAAGCGCUGAAAGCAUCUAAGCGCGAAACUCGCCUGAAGAUGAGACUUCCCUGGUGGUUAAACCACCCUAAAGAGUCGUUCGAGACCAGGACGUUGAUAGGUCGGGUGUGGAAGCGCGGUAACGCGUGAAGCUAACCGAUACUAAUUGCUCGUGAGGCUUGACUG